This 853-nucleotide long non-coding RNA is filed under the name Brassica rapa (field mustard). Its description in RNAcentral is "long non-coding RNA (BRAP_LNC002064)". Lineage: Eukaryota; Viridiplantae; Streptophyta; Magnoliopsida; Brassicales; Brassicaceae. The record is from RNAcentral.
CCAAUUCUCAUAAAGAUUAGGUAGCAGAGAUGGUUAAAGAUGCUAUUAUUUGAGUUUCAUUUGUUGGGUGCCCUGGGUUUGAGUCAUGGGUAUAUCAGUUCUGGUUCAAAUUUUUUUUUCUUGCUUCUAGCCUGCCAAAUGUCAAGCACGGCCCUGCGUGUACAGUUUUAGCUAAAACUAUCGUGUAUGUAUUUUGUUUUCUGACUCAACCUUUUGAGUUUUUUUUUUAAAUAUAUUUUUUAGGAAUCUGACUGAUGGAAAAAUAUCAAGCAAACUUGGACAAUCAAAACUGAUAAAGUAAUGUUACGUAGCUCCGAUCUUAUGGGGAUUUGCAUAGAGUUAUUCUUGGGUUCACCCCCUAGGGUGAACCUCUAGGUUCACCAACCAAUAGGAUUUCAUUAUUUCAAAUUUGAUAUCUUUUAGAAAAAGAAACAAAAUAUUGUCAAGAUAUAUUAUAUUUUAAAAAUAAAAAAGGUUAAAAAAAUUUAAAAAAAAAAUAAUAGUUAGAGGAAAACGAGUUUAAAAAAAAUAAUAUUUUUAUCGUCGUCAGCAAAACACUAAACCCUAAAUCCUAAUCCCUAAACCCUAAAUCAUAAACCCUAUAAACCCUUGGACAAAUUUUAAACCCUUGGAUAAUUCAUACUCUAAAUCAAAAACACUAAAUCCUAAAACCCUAAACCCUAAACCCUUGAGUGUUUAGUGUUUUUGAUUUGGAGUUUAAGAUUUAUCCAAGGGUUUAGGGUUUACCUAAGGGUUUAGGAUUUAGAGUUUAGGGAUUAGGGAUUAGGAUUUAGGGUUUAGUAUUUUGCUGAGGACGUUAAAAAUAUAUUUUUUUAAUUACUACUUUUUUUAA